GACAAAGGAAGGAAAGACAGACAACUCUCAUUGGUCGUUUAAAACGUUGCUGGUGGCGCCUCGAUGGGCAGUAGAUAGAACUAUUUGUUUGAAAUAGCUAUAUAGUAGAAAAGGAUGAAACAUGUUUUCGUUUCGGCAUAACAUAACAUAACCUAAGUUUUUACGCGCUUUUAGUUGUAUUUUCAGCAGUGGUAAGUCAUGUUGUCCUCAUAGUUUUGUAAUGUUUUUUAAUAAAUUCAACAUUUGUUGUGUUUUAAAUGCAUCAUACGUGGAUUUGUUCUCUGCAGUGAAUACAUAAUUUCUGCAUCAGUUAUAUCAACAAGUUUUAUUCAUUUAUUAUUGGAUUAUAAAGGCAAACAUCUUUCUUUGGGUUGAGGCACACAUUCUUUGUAACAUUUUAAUUCAAAUAUGAAUUUUUUAGUGCAAUCGUGGAGUCUAGAAGUGGAUAGGGACUGGAUACAAGAUACAACUUCCGUCAGUGAAAGAUUACGUGAAUCAGAUGGCUUAUGCUGAAGUUCUGCCAAUGAAUCGAAGAAUACAAUUAAUUAUGUGUAGUCUUCACACUGGAUGUUCUUUUCUUCAAUAAUUUGGUUAUACAAAACAAUAUUUGAUCUGACAUUACUAAAUUAUUUCAUUACUUUUUGUUUGAAAAAAAUCAAUAUGUAUUUAAUUAAUAUAAUGUUUAAUAAAAAGUAUUUUAAUA
Molecule: long non-coding RNA, 703 nt
Organism: Coccinella septempunctata (seven-spotted ladybird)
Lineage: Eukaryota; Metazoa; Arthropoda; Insecta; Coleoptera; Coccinellidae
Exons: 2
Source: RefSeq, a predicted model, not a curated record